RNAcentral lists this transfer RNA (67 nucleotides) under Pachygrapsus fakaravensis. RNAcentral describes it as "tRNA-Leu". Lineage: Eukaryota; Metazoa; Arthropoda; Malacostraca; Decapoda; Grapsidae. The record is from RNAcentral.
GGCUAUUUUGGCAGAUUAUAUGCGUUGGAUUUAGGAUCCUAUUAAAUAGAGUAAUUCUAUAGAUAGC